GCCGCAUCCGACGCACAGCGCGACCGCACCCGGAAUGCCCUGGUUCUCUCGGCCGCGUGCUUGUGCUCGCCGCUCCUGAAAGCCGUCGAGCGCGCCACAGCAGUCACGCGAGGCGUUCCGCGGAUUAGUGACGAGAACCAGGAGCGCGAUGGAAGAACGCCGCGUGGACCUGCUGGCUGUACACGAGGAACUAAUCGAGGCGUCGAGCAGCCGGCGGCGAACCACCCGCAAGCCGCGACCCAGGGACCGCUGGACUGUCGUCGUUGGACCCGAGAUACGCACGUGCUCAUAACAUCUGCCUGCACGAAGGUGCCUUUAGUGGCACUCGGUGAUCCUCUAUGGACCUGCAGCGGCUUAGCACAGGCUGUAAAGGCGAACAUCGCUCUUGCUGAGAAAAGCACAUGGCUGGCGUGGUCUGGUCUUUCUGACUUCCACAAACGCAGUCCAUUGGGAAGCUAUUCUCCAUAUACAGAGAUCCAUUCAACCAGCCACCAAGAGCAGAAAUGGACAUCUGGAUUAGCUCGUCCCCGUCACAGCAAUUUGA
Schistocerca nitens (vagrant locust) is the source of this 544-nucleotide long non-coding RNA. RefSeq lists it as uncharacterized. The transcript is spliced from 3 exons. The record is from RefSeq and is a predicted model, not a curated record. Lineage: Eukaryota; Metazoa; Arthropoda; Insecta; Orthoptera; Acrididae.